AUACUCUUGAGAUUUGUCUACUUAUGUGUGCGACUGUUUCUAGGGUGCACAUGAGUCUUUUAUGCAUCCUAUUUUGUUCUUGAAAUAUGGGUGUGACAGAAGGAGAGGUAACAAGACAUGAAGAUUUGUUCCUAGAGAAGGACACCAUAGAAGAAGUAAAUGAAGACAUCAUUAAAGACGAAGCUCCCUCAUCGAAGUCCACCUCGCCAGCCAAUAAGGUAUCGGUUCAAAGAGCUGUAAUUAUUUCCGACUCACCAACACAGGAAGAAGAACCAUUGGAGUCACCGAAGAAGACAUCUGGAGUGACCGAAGAAGACUGAGCGAAAGGAGACUCCUGUUAGGCGGACUAAAAACAAUAAACCCUCGCCAAAAGGUAUAUUUGGCAGUUAUCCAUAUUUCCAUUUUCAAUGCUGCAUUAGUUUCCUUUAGAAGCAUGUUUAAUUUCCUCACAAUCAUAAUCAUUUAGUUCAACACCUUUUUGCAUUCAGAAAAGAAAAUAAAAAUAUUCACCAUGCAUAGUUUCCAAAAACAUUUACAAAACCUUGAAGCCCCAUGUGAGUCCUUUGGUGGUACAUCCCCAAGGUACUCACCGUGGUGGCACAAAAAAAUAUUUAGAUCCCUUUUCUUCUAGUUAGAUUUUUCCUUGAAACAUAGAAAUGGCUAUGCAUGGCUAUAAAAAAUGUAAAGCCCCAUGUGAAUAACUUUGUGGCAAUCCAUAAAGAUUACUCACCAUGGUGGCACAAAAAUAAAUAGACUAGUUGCAUUUUUGCUUUAUGCAUUGUAAAUUUGAAAAUCCAUAAAAAUAUGAAAACAUUUAAAAUACCAAAAAGAAAAAGAUCCUGGAUAUUAUGUGCUCAAUCAUUUGUGAGUUCUAGACAAUCAAGGUUUAGAGGUUUAUCAUUAAAGCUUAAUCCAGUUCCACAAGCUUUGUUGUCUAUUUGAGCUCCACAGAAUUUGAAGGAUCAAGAAGGCCGACAACCAGAGGAGGUAUCUUCACUGCUAGUCUGCUACAUCAAGAGACCACGUCAACAUCCAGCUUGGGGGAGAGCAUACCCCCAUGUAUCUAGCUAAGUGCUUCUUCCAUCUUUUGAAAUUUUGAAUCUGAAUUUGAAGUUGCCUUGUCUAGAUUAUGGAAACAAAUAAAAAGAUGAAUAAACCUUUUAAACCAAAUAAAGAAUUCCUUACAUAUUUUCUAUAUGAUUUUAGAAUUGUUAAAUAAAUAAAUAAAAGGAGAAGAUACAAGGAUUAAUUUUGCUUAUGCCAAACCAAAGUUUAAAUCGCAUGGAAAUGAUGAAUAGUUGCUCUACCACACUUUAUGAGUGCCUAGCUCUUAAACUCGAGCUAUCCCAAGUUUUAGACACAACUGUUUUGAUUAAGAAUUUACUCUAAGCCUAAAACUUGUGGGUUGUAAUGUUUGAGCUUAAGUCUAGGUAGUUGUUUGAUAUGAUAUGGAAAGGUUUUGAGCUUCUAUUAAUCAUAUUCCUAGAGAUGCUAGAGUUCUCGAGAGUUUAUCUUUUGAAAAACAUAAAAAUGUUACAUGAUGAGUUACUGUAUGACGAGAGCUUGAAUUCCUACCACAACCAGAUAUACAUGUCUUGUAGACUAGGAAAACACUUCACUAUCAUUUACUGCUUAUGGGCAUUGAGUUUUGUCAAGCAUUGUUGACCCUUAGGAACUAGUCAUGCUUUUAAAAUCAAGAUCACGUACACUCCUCCAUUUAUGCUUCUCCUACACCGGAAGUACGCAUCCACCAUCAUUUCAUCUGGACCCACACAAAAUUGUUUUACUCCUACAAAAACAUCCCAUUCAUUCAUCCAUUGCCAUUUAGUAAAGCUCCAAUUAUUUCUUGUUGCUACCUACCAUUUCAUUAUCUAGAAAAGAGAUUUGAGUGCUCUAUAAAAGAAAAGAAAAAGAGGACAAAGGUCCCAACAAAAAAAACAAAAAGAAAGAAAAAUAGAGCAACCAAAACUCUCCCCAAAACUUCCAAUAAAGGUAGGUAUGUUUUCAAGGAGCAGAGGAUUCCACUAUCACCAUUACAUUCCAAUCCAUUAUAUACCACACACAUGCACAUCUUGAUUUGAUUGUAUGACUUGAUUCUUUGGAUCCAUUGUUUCACUUUACAAUAUAUGUUCACAAGUGUGUAUGAGCUGUCUCCCCACCUAUGAGCUCCACAUAAGCCACUUAGUUAUAAGGUGAGAGAGAGAGGGCACCUGACUAUGCCGAUAACAAAAAUACCACAAACUUUGAGAGAAGAGAGAAGGCAGACAUCAUGAGUGCCUUGGAGAGGAUCCACAAAUACCACAUAUCAGAGACUUGAGAGGGUCAUACACAAGAAUCUCUGAGUUUUAUUUGAAAAUCAUGCAAAAACUCUAGAAUGAAAGUUGAUCAAAGAGCUUGAGGCAUAGUGCUUGACUUGACCAUUCUAUCCUUCAACGACUCAAGACCAAGGUAAAAGAUAUAAACCCCAUGGUGGAAGGUAAUAUGGGUAACUCUAAGUAAUUAUAGUUCAUUCUAAUCCAGAAGAAGGUUCUUGUUCAAAUGCAUGUGCAGCCUUAAAGUAUGAUAGCAUUGCAGCAACUCCUGAUCCUUUGCUAAGUUUUUCUUUGCUCAGGGACGAGCAAAAGGUAAGCUUGGGGGAGCUUGUUGAUGGUAGAUAAGAAUCAAUUUUAUAUCAACAAGAGAAUUGAAUAAGGGCAAGAAAUAAUCAUCAACAACAGAAUAGGGUUUCAACUGACAGAUUUCCAUAGGGUUUGGUGAAUGUCUAUUUCUACAAGGGGUUAUCAGGAAAUGACCUUUGGAGGCCCACAUGUCAUGAUUACAUAGAGAGAAAAGAUAUAUCUACGCCAUGUAUACAAAGGAAGGAUCUAGAAGAGUUAGGAAGCCACCAGAACGAAGCGGAACAGGAGCGGACCCUGGGCCACGGCGGCCAAGGGAGGCGCCUACCCUCUCCAUGUCCAAUCUAGAGAGUGGCCACGGAUCAUGGCCUAAACCAACUUAGAGGAUCUCUAAUCUUUGUCCAUUAAGGUCGGUUUGAUCCAAGGGCUACGGUUCAUCCCACCGACCUAUAUAAGGAGGGGUAGACCCUAGGGUUAGAGGCAUCAAUUCAAGUUAGAAGUUGAUCUCAUUCAUAGAAUUCAUUAUCUACUUUCUCCUCUCUAGAGCUCCAAGUUUAGAGGCAUAGCUACAUAGAAUAGAUCUUGUUGGAGGCAAGCGUUGUUUGGUUUCUAGAUCUAUCAGAGAGAUACUCAGUAAUUCUUGUAAUCUUUCUCCUACUUUGUU
Molecule: long non-coding RNA, 3279 nt
Filed under: Sorghum bicolor (sorghum)
Lineage: Eukaryota; Viridiplantae; Streptophyta; Magnoliopsida; Poales; Poaceae
Description: long non-coding RNA (SBIC_LNC013635)
Source: RNAcentral